AUACGAAAGGUGCAAGCGUUGUUGGGAUUUACUGGGCGUAAAGAGAGUGUAGGUGGUUUAUUAAGUCGGAUGAGAAAUCCCGGGGCUCAACCUCGGAACUGCAUUCGAUACUGAUAGGCUAGAGUUUGGGAGGGGUAAGCGGAAUUCCGUGUGUAGCAGUGAAAUGCGUAGAUAUACGGCGGAACACCUGAGGCGAAGGCGGCUUACUGGACCAAUACUGACACUGAGACUCGAAAGCGUGGGUAGCAAACAGGAUUAGAAACCCUAGUAGUCC
Molecule: ribosomal RNA, 274 nt
Filed under: uncultured bacterium
Lineage: Bacteria
Description: partial 16S ribosomal RNA
Rfam family: Bacterial small subunit ribosomal RNA
Source: RNAcentral